CAGUCGCCACGGUAAUACGUAGGGCGCGAGCGUUGUCCGGAAUUAUUGGGCGUAAAGGGCUUGUAGGCGGUUGGUCGCGUCUGCCGUGAAAUCCUCUGGCUCAGCUGGGGGCGUGCGGUGGGUACGGGCUGGCUUGAGUGCGGUAGGGGAGGCUGGAACUCCUGGUGUAGCGGUGGAAUGCGCAGAUAUCAGGAGGAACACCGGUGGCGAAGGCGGGUCUCUGGGCCGUUACUGACGCUGAGGAGCGAAAGCGUGGGGAGCGAACAGGAUUAGAGACCCCUGUAGUCCCUGUCUCUUAUAA
This 301-nucleotide ribosomal RNA is filed under the name uncultured bacterium. Its description in RNAcentral is "partial 16S ribosomal RNA". It matches the Rfam family "Bacterial small subunit ribosomal RNA", at positions 509 to 809 of the family's 1533-position model. The record is from RNAcentral.